Ophiophagus hannah (king cobra) is the source of this 182-nucleotide long non-coding RNA. It matches the Rfam family "Rhabdomyosarcoma 2 associated transcript conserved region 9". NCBI's taxonomy places the organism in Eukaryota, Metazoa, Chordata, Lepidosauria, Squamata, Elapidae. The record is from Rfam.
AUUCCUGAAACAAAAGAUCCACUUCAGACUCUGCCACACCUAAAAAGAAGCUUUGAGGAAAUUGCCAGGCUCAAGUACAAUGAGAGAAUUGCCCACAAAGCAGAAAAUGAAAAAAGGCACAUAGAUACUGUGGAUACUUCUGUAAAGUGCCAAAGAUCUCGUACGGAUAUGGUCUGACAAGG